RNAcentral lists this ribosomal RNA (379 nucleotides) under uncultured eukaryote. RNAcentral describes it as "partial 18S ribosomal RNA". It matches the Rfam family "Eukaryotic small subunit ribosomal RNA", at positions 592 to 976 of the family's 1831-position model. The record is from RNAcentral.
CAAUAGCGUAUAUUUAAGUUGUUGCAGUUAAAAAGCUCGUAGUUGGAUUUCGGAUGGGAUUUGCCGGUCCGUCGUUACGAUGUGCACUGGCCAGUCCUAUCUUGUUGUCGGGGACUAGCUCCUUGGAUUCACUUCCUGGGACUAGGAGCUGACGAGGUUACUUUGAGUAAAUUAGAGUGUUCAAAGCAAGCCUACGCUCUGAAUACAUUAGCAUGGAAUAACACGAUAGGACUCUGGCUUAUCUUGUUGGUCUGUGAGACCAGAGUAAUGAUUAAGAGGGACAGUCGGGGACAUUCGUAUUUCAUUGUCAGAGGUGAAAUUCUUGGAUUUAUGAAAGACGAACUACUGCGAAAGCAUUUGUCAAGGAUGUUUNCAUUAA